RNAcentral lists this ribosomal RNA (119 nucleotides) under Pteropus alecto (black flying fox). The record is from RNAcentral. Lineage: Eukaryota; Metazoa; Chordata; Mammalia; Chiroptera; Pteropodidae.
GUCUAUGGCCAUGCUACCCUGAACAAGCCCGAUCCUGUCUGACCUCGAAAGCUAAGCAGAGUCAAGCCUGAUUAGUACUGGGAUGGGAGACCACCUAGGAAGACCAGGUGCUGUAGGCG